GCAGAGCCAGUCCAGAGCCAGGAACUUCUUCCGGAUCUCCCAGUGCAUGAGGUGAAGGUCCAGAUGCAGGAAAGCCUGACCUUGCUGAGGAAGCCCUGCCUCUCCCACUCCACCUGAAGCUAAGAAUGCUGCACAGCCUUGUGAAGGUUUGAGCCUGGUUGCUCUCAGUUCCUCCCAGCGUGGAUGCGUUCCUGCCUUUCCCAGCCUGCAGGAGUCAGAGGGCGCUGUGCAAGCACACUGAGCCAAGGCCCAGUGGUGAUGGUGGCAGCAGUGGUUGGCCAUGGAUGAGGCUGGUGGCCCUGAGGAAGACUGCUGGCCCUGCACCUGAGGGAAGAGCUGUCAAAAGUCAAAAAGAAGGACUUUGAGCACUUGCUGAUGGAGGUGAUGCAGAUCUGGGACUUUCUGCUCCGGAUCCCCAAUUAGGAAGUCCUGGAGAGUUGCUCCAAGUUGAAGAUUGUCAACAAAUUGAGUCUCCCUGCAUCCCUAGUGGGCCUCAGCUCAGGGGUGUGUAAUUCAUUCAUUGCUGGUUCAGCCUAGAUGAGCAGCUACUAAGGAGUCCAGCAAGCAAGCAUUGCAUGCCACAUUCUCUCAGCCACUUCUUCAGUAGAGUUUUCUGGGUCCUGAUCUGUACAGAGGGACAGGCAAUGGGCAGGUUGUUCCUACAGUACCUGAGGAUGCUGGACAAAGAGCUCAUCCCCGUGGAUUUCUGUGGGGUUGCAAUAUACGUUCAGCCAUUACUUUUGUUCUCAUUUGCAUUUUUAUGUGGAGAAUUUUUCGAUAUGUGACGAAUGCAGUAUUGGUUCAGCCACGGAUUUGACUGAGAGCAGCUCCAUGGUGGAUGGGGACUGGACGGUGGUCGAGGAGAAUUUCUCCACGCUCAGUCUGACUCCGUCCGAGCUGGAGCACAUCUCCAUGGAGCUGGCAAGCAAAGGCCCUCAUAAAUCCCAGGUCCAGCUUCGGUACUUCCUGCAUAUUUUCAUGGAGGCCGGAUGUUUGGACUGGUGCAUUGUCAUUGGCCUGAUUCUGAGAGAAUCCUCAGUAAUCAACCAGAUUCUGGCUAUUAUACAGUCUUCAGAGGUGGAUGGAGAGAUGUUACAGAACAUUAAGAUGGGGCUCCGUGCUGUGGACCAGUGGGCCUCUACGGAUUGAUGCCUGCCUUGGCACAGCACGGGGACGCGCACGAGGGCCGUGGAAAGCGGAGUUCCGGGAUGUUGGUUUUGGUGCCGCGGGGGCCUCCAAAAGCCGUGGAAACUGAGUGUCAUAACACGUGAACGCCAAGGGUGUCUGCACCAAAACAAACCUUCUCCGGUUCCGUUCUCCAUGUCCGGCUUGGCAGCUCCCCUGCCCGUGUCAGCGUGAGCCGUUCUCCUUUACCGUUGGCAGCCCGUCAGACCCCAGUCCUAUCCGUGCAGGCUGUCCACACGGAGCGAGGGUGCCCGCUGGAGCGAGCUUUGUUCCUCCUAGAUCAGUGUGGGCACAGGCUGAGGAAUUCUCACCAAUUCUGCUGGUAGAUGCCACUAAACUGUUUUGUAUCAAAAAAUUGUACCUUUUUGUGAAUACUCUUGGUGUAAAUAAAUCCAAAGACACUACUCAUAUUUUUAGCACUUGUAUUAUAAUUUGUAAGGUUUUAUGCUGGAUUCCGCAUGCCUAUAAAUACUUAGAGAAUUAUAGCAACAGGGCUUGUUUUUCUUUCCCAAAAAGAGCGGUCUUCAUAAAGACAGACUCCUUAUUGGCUCAGCUGGUCAUAACAAAAUGCUCACACUGAUCAUGAAAUGGAACAGAUUUUUGUGCAAAUUAACAUAGUUUACUAUUUAUUGAUUUUGUAAAUGGAAUAAAAUGGACUUUUAUGUAAAUAGACUGCUGAACCUUAUCACGGCUACUAAAAAUUAGUCUGUAAAGAAUGCAUCCUUCAUUGUAAACUUUAGAGUAUUUUAUGUAUUUGUAGAUGACAAAUUUGUUUUCAUGUUGUGAAAACUGCAUAUUUCAUAAUUGGUUCAUACUAGUCACCUAUCCUCCACUGUAUCUAAUUACCUUAUAACAGUAUUCAUUUAGAUAGCUUGUUUGUACUGUGCAAUUUGAACAAGGAAUGCAAUGUUAUUUUUUACAAAAACUUAUUUUUGUAACAACAUAUUUGAUAUGGACCAAAUUCGUACCACUAUGUUUAAAAAAAAAAAAAAGCCUCUUCUCACAGUGCAAUUCCAGUUCAGAAACAAGGCCUGGUCCUCUCGCUGCCCUGGAAAGGAAAUACCCGGAUUCAGUUCUUAGCCCGUUUCCUUUGAAGGGAAUUGAAACUAUCUUGAAUUGUUUGGUUCAUAAUUCAUCAAACUCUUCAAAAUUACUGAUUUGGGGGAAUUGACUGUCAUUUACUUUUUACAUUAGAAGUGCAAUAAUUUCACACCAUAAAACUCCUAAUGGAUCAAAUAUGGUCUUAUUGGUACCUGGUCCUUCUGGUGCUACUGUUACUUAAGUCAGCUUCAAACCACCUUUCCCUGAAUGGCUGGAAGGUCAGUGUUUCCUGAAUGAGUCCAGGCAGCCCAGCCAGAAAAUAAACUGACCUCUCUUCUCCUGCCCCGGUCCGUCAGAGGGAACCAGCAUCACUGUCGUUUGCUGCAGAUCCUCAUUUAGUAACAGCUGCACACAGCUGGCUAGCUCACACCAUGCUGCCGCCGAGGUCACCCUGCGAGCAGCGCCCACAGGGUGACUCCUGCGGUGGAGGCCGUGAGCGAGUCCCUUCCUCUGUGAAAUGUUGGCUUUCAACUAAUAAAUAGGCCACAAGGGAAGAAAAUUGGUAAGUUUACAUGUUCUAUUUAUUAGAUACUUUGAAUUCUUUGAAAAACUCAUUUUUACCAUGUUGUUUGGUUCACAUCAAUUGUUUUAAGCCAUCAUUUUAACCAAGGAACUUAAAUAUUACUAUAACUA
RNA transcript from Ochotona curzoniae (black-lipped pika), 2919 nucleotides. It is a transcript of the gene named guanine nucleotide exchange factor subunit RIC1-like, with no coding region annotated. The record is from RefSeq and is a predicted model, not a curated record. The transcript has 8 exons. NCBI's taxonomy places the organism in Eukaryota, Metazoa, Chordata, Mammalia, Lagomorpha, Ochotonidae.